Molecule: long non-coding RNA, 6981 nt
Filed under: Eucalyptus grandis
Lineage: Eukaryota; Viridiplantae; Streptophyta; Magnoliopsida; Myrtales; Myrtaceae
Description: long non-coding RNA (EGRA_LNC001441)
Source: RNAcentral
UCAGGCCCCAAGUGAUCAAUGCAGAUCCUUCCAAAGAGAAGAAUAAGCCUAAAGAAAGCGCCAGCUGAUAUUCCGUCUCUUCUGGAGUUGAAACAAUUAUACUACGACUCAUGACACGGUAAACUUGUGUUUCACUUUUUCUAAUGUUGUAUCUACUAUCUUUUAACUAAUUUGUUUUUGUCGAUCAAGUGGCACCUGGUAUUCUGGACCAUGAACUUGUAUGGCUUUAUAUAUCUAGCACAUACUCUUCUUCCUUUCUAACUUUAUUGCAAACUCUGACUUCCAGAUUUACUUGAUGGAUUUGAACUCGCAUCUCGAUAUAUCUCGCAUUUAUGUGGUUAACGAUAUCGGUAUAAAUGAUUACCUUGAGAUUUGUUGAUACUGUAAGGCGAUAUAUGAGAUUCCAUUAGUGAAGGGCAACCCAGAGCAGUGGAUAUCGGUGAAGCUCUUUCCUUGUUAAAUCUUUACUGAGUUUUUCAAGGCACAAUUGUUCAUUCUGUGAUUUAAUGAAAUGCAGGUUCUAAGGAAAAUCUGCUCGUACUUAGUUCUAUCACCACAUGAUCCUGUACAAUUAAGCCUUCUUAAUGCCACUUUAGAAAAUAAACAUCUCUCAGAAAUUCCCAUUUCAUCUUUGAAUUGUUUUAGGUUAUUGGUUGUACAUCUUGUAAUAUCUCAAUAAUGUGCCAUAGAAUUUGGUUGACCAUGCCUUUGUUAUUUUAACACAGGUUGCUGCUGAAACAAUUGGUCAUGGUGGAGGUUAUCCAAUGGACACCUCUUUAAAGUACUUUCAAAGAUGAAUUUGAGAAUGAGAAAAUGUGCUAGGAGGUGCACUUGUUGAGAAGGUAGCAGAAAAUCUUAGACAGGGCCCAAUCAUAGUCAAAAGAAGAAUUUCUGCUUCUCCUGGGUGAGACAAGCUACCUUUGGCUAGGGGCCUCAUCAGAGAAUCAUUGAACAUGUAAUUACAGAACUCGUUGUUUUUCUUCUUUUAAUUGGAUCAUCACUGAGAUGUGACUCACUCUAUUUUGUGCAGAAUAUUAUUGUCAUUUUGAAGUAUUGCUGGAGGAUUACCUUAAAGAGACUUGCAGAGCUGUUAUGCCUCAGUAUCCAGGUCUGAUUAUGUGGAACAAUUGUUUAUGUUCAUUAUCCAUGUCACUCUUUAUGAAUGAUUGCCUAGACCCCUCAUUUAACCCCGAGCAGCCUCUCUCCCAUGAUCCCUAAUUGGGGCAUGGCUGCUGAUCUUGGAUACAAGUUCCAAAUGUGUAAAGAGGUUUUGGUGCGUUGAAAGCCAAAGGCUUGUCAUGGAUUUGAGAGUGUUGUCUUCAUAAUUUUGUUUUGUACACUUGGCUUAGUCAACUUCUUGUUGUAGUUGUGUCAUUUUCUAGCAUUAUGAAGCCAUUUCUUGUGCCAUGGAGCCUGAAAUUCUAAUGCACUUUAUAAGGGUGGGAGGAGCUCUGUUAUAUUGCUAGAAAUAGCUAAGCUAGCUUUUUCUGCUAGUAUUAACACUCACCAUACCAUUUCCUGCGUUACAAAAGUAUAUCUCGCUGGAGAUCUUGAUUAAUGUGUUUAGGAAAUCUUUGAAGUUAAAUCACUCUAGGAAAAGAGCUUUGUUUUUGGGUUCUCUUACUACUGUUGUUGAGAGCUUUAAUCAAUCACAUGCCUCAAUUUAUUAAAUCAACGCUAUCAUCUAAUAGAGAGACCAUAUAAUGAUAAUUAUUCAAGCUUUUGUGAUAUUCUAUCAGCAUGACCUCUUACUUCUAUAUUACCAUUUUAGGAAGCUGAGAAGCAUCUCUCCUUGAUGGUUGUUUCCAAGUCCCUAAUGGCAAAGAUAGACUGGCCAAAGGGAAUUGUUAGUUUCAAAAUGACAAAGGACAGCAAUGAGAUUUUAAACUUAGAGGAGACAAUUUUGGAAAAGCUGCUUCUUUUUGUUAAGAAAAGUUGCCACCAAAUCCCAAAGGAAACUGCAGUUCAUAAGGCUGCCUCAAGAGCUUGAAGAUGUUUUCAUUUGAAUGAAUGAUCUCUCCUCAAUGAAUGCUGUUUCACAUUGUGGUCCAAAGUGUGGACGGGAGAUAUUCAUCAUUGAACUCUCACAUGGCUGUCUUAAACUUGAUUGCAUAUUUUGCAAGAUGACCAGAUCUUGGCUUUGUUUCGGAUAUACUUAAUACGCUUUCAAAAUAGGAAUGUAGUUUGGUUUUUUCAACUUUCCUCUUUCCCCCAUCAUUUUAAUUGAAGAUUUAUGGGCUCAGGUCCGAAACUUAUAUCAAUGGAACAGGUAUUAGCACAAGAUGUGCACUCAUUUGGACUGAAAUAAGUGCCUCGUUACUAAAUUCUGUUUCGCAUUACAAAUGUUGCUAGUGCUUGUGUUUUUCUAACAUCGUGAAUAACAUUAGCUCUCCCUAGUAAAGGCUUAACGAAUGGUACUUUUUCCAUUUUAUUUCACAUUUGAAAUGAGCACCCUGUUUCUAGAGAACUUCAUUCCGAUAAGAUAACUGCACAUUUUAUCUCUUCGAGAGACGUUUUUUUUCUUCAAGUUGAUACUUGAUAGAAGAUGGAGCUUGUUUUUUAGAUUUCCAGCUCCCUUAUUUUCUUCAUGGAAACUGAAAAAUUUGGGAAAAGCUAUGGCCAUGAUAUCUUUUGGCUAUGAAAAUAGUUGUGCCCCAUAAGUGAAAAGCACCAUUUUACUUUCUUCACCAAGUAAACGUAUUUAUUAUUUUGUUAGAGAAUGUGAUUAUAGAAAUUACUUAGCAUAAUUUAAAGAAAAUUCAUGAUUUUUACUAUAGUAACUUUUCUUGUUAUAUGUGCCGUUAAUGGAUUGGAAAUUACAUAAAUCAUCAUAGAUACACUUAAAAGUUAUUCUUGAGGUCCUCAUUAACACGAUCAAUCAUUUAGGAGAAAUAAAAAAAAUUUCUUCAAAAUUUGAUCCUCAGUUUAAAGCAGCCUGGAACUUGUUUUACUACCUCUAGUUAACUUAAUUAGUGUUGUAGUGUAAUUAUCAACGCCUUAUUUCAAGUGCAGGGAAAAUUCGAGAUAACGCAAAAAUCAAUUUUUUGGUCAAUAUUUGAAGAUCUCUUUUUGUCCCAUACUUGAGAACUAAUUAAAAUUCUGAUAGGAAAAAGAUUACUAUAAAGCAUUCAAAACAUUUGAUUUGACAAAAAUUAAUCAUUACGGUAAGGGUGGUGAUCGUAUACUUGAAGAAGGAGGCUCCAUCGAUUUUAAUCGACAAUUUUCCACAAAUUAGAGCGGUACCAAUUUGAAAACCCUAAUGCAUUUUCGCUUUUUUGUUUCUUUAUAGAACCUCAAGCCCCAUCUUCCCUUUCUUUUAUACAAUUCUCUCAUUUUCAAUUUGUUUUUUCCUAUUUUUGCCUUUCCGUCCUACCAAUAAUGGCGUCAUGCCUUGCCAGGGAGCCGCUUUCCCGGGAGGCCGCCUUGCCUUCGCGAGCGACCCUCCUCUCUCCGCGUGCUACGAUCUUCGGAGAUGAAAAAACGUGACCCCAAAUUUUACUUUCCUCCUUAGAGGUUCGAGUUCGGCCCAUGUCGAGAAAUCGCGAUGGUUUCUGAAUGUGGGUUUCUCCGUUUGCGGAUUAAAAUCAGCGCGGCUGAGACGAGAAGUACCAGCGAGAGGAAAAGCGCUCGUCCCUACCGAUCUGAGCAUCGCAGUACCCGAAGGAACAUGUGCUCGAGUAGCUAAUGUGCAGCUUCUCAUCUCGAAACAUCGUCUCAAUACCUUGUUUUGGAUGAUUGACGAGGGCCGAAUCGAAUCGCGUGUGCAUCUGUUGCUUCAGCACCUGAUAUCGGGUUUGGCGUGGAAGCAUUAGAUCGACGUCUGUGUGGGCGUGAUCGAUGCGGACUACAGAGGCCCGGUUGGGGUGAUCCUGUUCAAUUACUCGGACGUCGACUUUGAAGUGAAGGUGAGUGACAAGACCGCGCAACUGAUCCUUAGUCCGUGAUGAUAGAGAUAAGGCAUAUUGUUUAAGUUAAGUAGUUUUAUUUUGUUUUAUCAUCUUUUCCUGGUUUAGUGAAGUCAGUUAUUGGUGGUCCACUCUGUUUUUAUUCUGGUUAGUAGAUUUGUUUUAGGAUUUGAGUUAUCUUGUAAAGGGAUGAAUUCUUUUUGGUUUAGAUGGAUAGGUAUUUCCUUGGUGCCUUACUUAUUAUACCUUUUACACAACAAAGAAACCGGGGAGAAAAGAAAUUGAGAUUGGGUGCCAGACUAGUGAUUCAAAAUACUAAUCAACCGAAGAUGAACAAUAAGUAUGGGUUGUACCUCUCCAUUGCAAUAAGAGUUUGUUGUGGAGUUUCUCCCUUGCAUGAACAUAGCAUGUGUCAGGUUUGCUGGUGGCGAAAGGAAUAUUAAACAAGCGAGAGCCAAGAUUAUUGUGUUCAGUCGUCUACUGAUUUCCUGGGGCAUGAAUUUUUGUCUUCCUAGCUAUAAGCACUCUUUUCCUUCCUCAUCAAGUGCUUGAGUCAAAAUUAUUUGAUGACACUUUUGAUACUUGGAUAUUCAUACCUGUUAAAAUGUUUUUCCUGUAUAUAGUAACUCCCAAACUUUCUUUACCAAAGAAAGUAUCUUACACUCAUUUGAUAUGAGCAAAUUGGAUUGUCUAGAUUAACCGAUGUCUAGGUAUUUGCCUUUUCAUCUCUGCUUUUGGGUGAUAAGCUGGUGGAAAUUUUGCUCUUCAUUGAGUGUAUUUCAUUGUUAUGCUGUGCUGAAUGCUGAUAAGUUCCUCUGGAUUAGUCAGAGCAUUAUGACUGGUGGCUAUUUAUUAUACCUGUACCAGAUUUUUACCUUGACGAUUGUUAUUAGGAUUGCUAACUGUAUAGGAGGCAAUUAAAAAGAUGCAAGUUGGUUGCAUCGACAAUCAUUCCCAGAUUGGAUUAGGAGUAAGAUCACUGGAGAUGUAGGAUGGGAUUCCUAGUCCCAGUCCACCUACUUUGCCUAUUUAAUUAGGACUCGACCUCAUAGUAAAUCAAAUUAGGCCCCAUUUCUCAUUGUGCAUGACCAAUUGUAUGUCUGAAACAAUAUUUAAAGGCCGAACCUGCUUUUUGGGCUAACUUUGGGGAUUAAACUGUAAGGGGAUUAUAAAUAAAAUUGAGGUGUUACCCUCGUCCUGAAUUAGAUUGGAUGGAAGAUUUAAUUGGUGGUUGUGGGAAGGCUGAAAAUACUUUCUAUGCAGACUUGGGAGAGUCCAUAUGCUUUCACCUGGAUUAAGAAUAACCUUUUAUUGCUGGAGUUGGAAGUGAGCUCUAAUUUCAUAAGAGCUUCGGUUGGGGAUAUGGGAGGUCUGCUGUGCCUCCACAACCAGCAAUGCAACACAAUGCCAUCACCUUUGUACUGCAACCAUCUACAGAAUUCUUUUUUAGGUCACAGCAUACAGCUCCUCACCUAGUCUAUUUCUUUUACCGUCCUCUUGUCUUCUUUUCAAUGCCAUCAUCUGCCUUUGCUUUCAUUUUGUUUUCUUCUUUUCUUUUGCCAUCAUCAGCAGUGCAGAGUCUUAUGAUUAUUGAUCCAUAGUGUGGUCCAGUUUCAAUCAUUUGGGAACAAUCUUAACAACCAUUACCUUAAAGGUUUUAUUUAUAUGAACUUAUACUGCAGCCAUUGCCUCCCAUAUGUGUACUGAUUAGAUCAUAUGCUGUCGUUUUGUGUAGUUGUAAUAUGCCAUCAUGUAUGACCAUUUGAAAAAUGAAUCUCAUUGGCACAUCUAUAUGGGUAUUGGCUCUCGGCAAUCCCUAGAGGUGCUAGAACUCAGGCCCAGUGCUCAUGCCGUUUGCAAGUUUUUUCAAUUGGCUGGGAUCAUCGUGAUUGUAUUUGUAUUGCACCUUGCUAUGACCCCUUUAAUUCCUCUUUUUACUCUAUUUUCUUUCUAGAUGAAUAAUUUUUCUUGCUGUUAAUCAGAUAGUUCAACUGAAAGUUAUAAUUGUGCCCUAGAAAUAAUCAAGUAAUGAAUUAAUUUGAUGGUGACACUUAACUCUGUUGCUCCUAGGAAGGUGAAAAUGUGAAAUCAAACUCUAUUGUGGCUUAUGUUCAUGAGCAACCUGUUUUGGUUUCGUGGUUUCUAUAGCUAGUUUCAUUAUGCAGCUAUAUGUCGAAAUUGAGAGAGUGCGGCUGAUAAAGAAACUUGCAAAAGUUAAAGGAAGAACAAGGUCUUACAGCAGAAGCUGCUGAUUUAAUACAAGAAAUUGCAGUAGCUAGAAGUUGACUUCUGGGUUCACUGAUCUUGUAAUUGGUUUUUCCUUGUCCAGCAUUAUGAGUGGUUUGAAUUGCUGUGGAAAAUUUUGGAGCAUUGGCAAGUACGGAGAAAAUUGCCUUUAUCCUAGAACAAGUAAGGGGUUUUCGUAUUGCUUUUAGCCGUUUAUGCUCUCUUACUAUGAUCAGUUUUUUUAUCAAUGGUUUUGUAGGUUCUUUUGAGCUUAUAUUGCCAGGACUAUGUCCAUGCACAGAUCCAGAAAAUCAGGCCCCCAGUGUUUGAUGAGAAGAAAAGGCCUAAAGAAGGGGAAAGUAUUGUGGAAGAAGCGCCAGCUGAUAUUCGGUCACUUCUGGAGUUGAAACAGAUAUAAUCAGAACCCAUAAUAUGGUGAAUUGGUGCUUUACUUAUUCUAAUGUUGUAUCUACUAUUUUUAUAACUAAAACUUUUUGGCCGAUCAAGCACUACCUGGUAUUCAGGUUGUGGUUCAAGCCAUGGUUUUAUUCAUCAGUUGCAUUCUCUUUUUCCUUUCUAUCUUUAUUGCAAAUUCUGAUGUAAGAGAUGUACAUAAUGGAUUUGAACACAUAUCUUACCUCACAUUCAUGUGGUUAACGAUGUAAGUAUUAUCCACAUUACAUGGGUUACCUUGAGAUUUGUCAUUGCUAUAUGGCAAUAUAUGAGAUUCCAUCAGUGAAGGGGAAACCCAGAGCAGCGGAUACCAGAGAAGCUCUUUCGUAUAAGGCUUUGUCGAGUCUUCACUGAUUUUUUCUAGGCACAGCUGUUCAUUCUGUGAUUUAAUUAGUUG